GACGAACGCUGGCGGCGUGCUUAACACAUGCAAGUCGAACGGAAAGUCCCUUCUUUUGUUGGGUUCUCGAUUUGCGAACGUGUGAGUAACACGUGAGUAACCUUCCCUUUACUUUUGUAUAACUUCAGGUAACUUGUUCUAAUACCUGAUAUUAGCUCCUGCUGCAUGGUGGUUUUUGGAAAGUUUCGGCGGUUGGGGAUGGACUCGCGGCUUAUCAGCUUGUUGGUGGAGUAGUGGCUUACCAAGGCUUUGACGGGUAGCCGGCCUGAGAGGGUGACCGGCGACAAUGGGACUGAGAUAAGGAGCAGAAUGGAACGGGAGGCAGCAGUGGGGAAUAGUGCACAAUGGGAGGAAGCGUGAGGAAGAAAAGAAGGGUGCGGGAAGAAGGCCUACGGGUGGUAAAAAGAGUGAGGAUGAGAAGAAGAGUGAGUGACGGUAAUGGGUAAAGAAGCACCGGCUAACUACGUG
This 468-nucleotide ribosomal RNA is filed under the name uncultured bacterium. RNAcentral describes it as "partial 16S ribosomal RNA". It matches the Rfam family "Bacterial small subunit ribosomal RNA", at positions 28 to 507 of the family's 1533-position model. The record is from RNAcentral.